This is a long non-coding RNA of Sphaeramia orbicularis (orbiculate cardinalfish), 1061 nucleotides long. RefSeq lists it as uncharacterized. NCBI's taxonomy places the organism in Eukaryota, Metazoa, Chordata, Actinopteri, Kurtiformes, Apogonidae. The transcript has 2 exons. The record is from RefSeq and is a predicted model, not a curated record.
AAUUUCAGUACAAAAACCACGUCUACAAAAACUUUUCAUCAAGAAAUGAGAGAUUUGGCAAAAUUGUUUUUCCAUUUGGCAAAUUUUUAUGCACAAGUUAUAUUCACGCAAUUUUCAUCUGCACAAAAUUUUGACAAAACAGAAGUGUGUAACAUCAGUUUUUCCAUUAAAUCACAAAUGCGAUGAUUUGUUUAUUUAUUAUUGUGAGAUGACAUGAGACAUCAUUCCAUAAACAUGAUGACGAACGUAAAUAUAGUGUUCAUUUACAGAUAUGUCUGGGAUUCUGUAUUUACCCUCUGUCUGCGACUAAAUUCUAAACUGAUGUGAUGUCCUGCUGUGUCCACACACACACACACACACACACACACACACACACACACAGGUUUUGGGUUCAGCUCUUCUCCUGUUCUAACAUCCACCAACAUGUUUUUUGUUUUUCUUCCUUCAUGUGACUCCAGUUGCACAAAAAGGUCUUUCCAUUACAGUUUUGCACAAUACACCAGUUUCCCUACGAAAAACCACCUCUAACAAGAACAAAAACCUUUCAUCAAGAAAUGAGAGAUUUGGUGAAAUUGUUAUUUUUCCAUUGGGCAAAUUUUUAUACACAAGUUAUAUUCAUGCAGUUUAAGUGUCGGUGGAAAAGCGACUAUUGUGACGGAACGCAGACGUCGACAGCACACGUCCUCUUUUAUCUGUCCUCUGUUUGGAACGACGGCUGCUUCUCUGGUUCCACUCAUAGACCCAAAAACACAGAGCCAACAUACGAACAUACGACAGAACCUCCGUUCAGGAUCCAACAUGGACAGAGCUGGUGCAUACCUUCACUUUCUGUUUACUGCAGAUCCACCGUGUUCGUCCGUGGGCCAGAUGUGAAGACGUUCCUGUUCAGUGUUUACUGUCCGUUCCAUUUGGGUGACAGCAGCCUCGACCUUUGACCUCUGACCAUGUAAAUGUUUUCAGUUUAUCCGUGAAUCAGAGUGAACAUUUGUGCCAUAUUUGAAGACGUUCUGUUCAGCGUUCCUGGGAUGUUUUCAUUUCCAAUAAACCCUCUGUUUUAUGGA